UUCUUCCUGCCUUCUCUCAAAGGCACAACCCAAUUUUCUUUAAAGUUAUUCACCCCUAAAUUCUACAAAGCCCUGCCUCAUUUUAAGUAUGGUAGCCCCUGACUACUGAUACCCUGUCCAAGUGACGUAGGGCCCCGUAACGUAUGUCAAGGCUUUGCCUAAAUUCGUUGGGGUUCUGUCUCGUGACGUAGGGAUAAAGUAGAAUUGGGUUACUAUACUUGAUGUGGGUACACUAUAUAUUUUAUUAAAUAAUCCAGGAGUUGUACCCAAAAUAUAACAAACCUCCCGAAUAUUUUUCUGACACCCUACACUUCCUAAAAUACACCACAUAUGUGAAAACCGAGCCCGAAAUAUAAUAUAGCAUUAAAAAUAAGUGAAAAACAAGAAAUAGUAAGUUGAGGCGGGCCGCGUAGACCCACCCCAACCAUUCACGCGGGCCGUAUGAAGGUGUAACCGGAUUCCUUUGAUUUCUUAAGUCCAGGCGGGCCGCGUAAGGCCACACCGUUAGUUUACGCGGGCCGCGAGUGUCCCGAUUCGUGGCGCAGCCCGGUGAUGACACGUGUCAUCAUCGUGGCAGGUCUAGAGGAUGAGCCGGACAAGCUAGUCCGUUGACCAGGGUUGACGCGGGCCGCGUGACCCCUGUCCUUUCUUUACGCGGGCCGCGUGGGAACCAGAAUCAGCACCUAUAUAAGCAGGCAUCGGGUUUUAGUAUUCCUCGUUCAUUUCUUUUCUUUCUAAACGAAUUCUGAAGUAGUAGAAGUGAUACGCGGGUAUUAUACCCCCUAAUUAGCGAAGCUCUGCCUCGUUACUAUAACCAAGGAAUCACAAAGGAAAGCCUUAUAAUAGCAAUGUAACUUAGUGUAAAGCCAAUAGAAGCCAGCUGGAGAGCACUGAAGGCUUGGAAAAGUGGCAAUAAAGUUACCUAAAAUAAAAUAGAUGUUUUUAUUAAAUAAAAUAGGAUUUAUUCCUAUGAAAAUGUAUGUACUGAAAAACUUGGGUUUUAUCCCAUGUGUUUAAUAUAAUGAAAAGAAGGUGGUUUUACUCUGAUAAAAUAUUUCCUAACUACGGUCCUGAUGAAAAAUUCCGCUGCCAAAUAGACAAUACGCGAUACCACCGAAACUGGCUCACGGCCGCCCGCUCCUGAGGGAUCGGGGGUUGUGAAAGAAGGUGGUAUCAGAGCUAUGCCACUGGUUCAAGCCAAAGAAGUAGUAUAAGUA
Molecule: long non-coding RNA, 1217 nt
Filed under: Helianthus annuus (common sunflower)
Lineage: Eukaryota; Viridiplantae; Streptophyta; Magnoliopsida; Asterales; Asteraceae
Description: hypothetical non coding rna
Source: RNAcentral